AAUAGAUACCCCGGUAGUCCACGCCGUAAACGAUGAGUGCUAAGUGUUAGAGGGCUUCCACCCUUUAGUGCUGCAGCUAACGCAUUAAGCACUCCGCCUGGGGAGUACGGCCGCAAGGCUGAAACUCAAAGGAAUUGACGGGGGCCCGCACAAGCGGUGGAGCAUGUGGUUUAAUUCGAAGCAACGCGAAGAACCUUACCAGGUCUUGACAUCCUUCGCUACCUCUAGAGAUAGAGGGUUCCCCUUCGGGGGACGGAGUGACAGGUGGUGCAUGGUUGUCGUCAGCUCGUGUCGUGAGAUGUUGGGUUAAGUCCCGCAACGAGCGCAACCCUUGACCUUAGUUGCCAGCAUUCAGUUGGGCACUCUAAGGUAACUGCCGGUGACAAACCGGAGGAAGGUGGGGAUGACGUCAAAUCAUCAUGCCCCUUAUGACCUGGGCUACACACGUGCUACAAUGGAUGGUACAAAGGGUCGCGAAACCGCGAGGUGGAGCCAAUCCCGAAAAAACCAUUCUCAGUUCGGAUUGCAGGCUGCAACUCG
This 540-nucleotide ribosomal RNA is filed under the name uncultured bacterium. RNAcentral's name for it is "bacterial SSU rRNA". It matches the Rfam family "Bacterial small subunit ribosomal RNA", at positions 777 to 1314 of the family's 1533-position model. The record is from RNAcentral.